RNAcentral lists this ribosomal RNA (253 nucleotides) under uncultured bacterium. Its description in RNAcentral is "partial 16S ribosomal RNA". It matches the Rfam family "Bacterial small subunit ribosomal RNA", at positions 524 to 776 of the family's 1533-position model. RNAcentral also lists the same sequence under 1 other name. The record is from RNAcentral.
UACGUAGGGGGCGAGCGUUGUCCGGAAUUACUGGGCGUAAAGGGUGCGUAGGCGGCCAUAUAAGUCAGGUGUGAAAAACCACGGCUUAACCGAGGUAUUGCACAUGAAACUGUAUGGCUUGAGUACAGGAGAGGAAAGUGGAAUUCCUAGUGUAGCGGUGAAAUGCGUAGAGAUUAGGAAGAACACCAGUGGCGAAGGCGGCUUUCUGGACUGUAACUGACGCUGAGGCACGAAAGCGUGGGGAGCAAACAGG